GAUGAACGCUGGCGGCGUGCUUAACACAUGCAAGUCGAACGGAAAGGCCAGUGCUUGCACUGGUACUCGAGUGGCGAACGGGUGAGUAACACGUGGGUGAUCUGCCCUGUACUUCGGGAUAAGCUUGGGAAACUGGGUCUAAUACCGGAUAGGACAACUUUUUGGAUAUUGUUGUGGAAAGCUUUUGCGGUAUGGGAUGAGCUCGCGGCCUAUCAGCUUGUUGGUGGGGUAAUGGCCUACCAAGGCGUCGACGGGUAGCCGGCCUGAGAGGGUGUACGGCCACAUUGGGACUGAGAUACGGCCCAGACUCCUACGGGAGGCAGCAGUGGGGAAUAUUGCACAAUGGGCGCAAGCCUGAUGCAGCGACGCCGCGUGGGGGAUGAAGGCCUUCGGGUUGUAAACUACUUUCGCUAGGGACGAAGCGUAAGUGACGGUACCUGGAGAAGAAGCACCGGCUAACUACGUG
This 466-nucleotide ribosomal RNA is filed under the name uncultured bacterium. RNAcentral's name for it is "partial 16S ribosomal RNA". It matches the Rfam family "Bacterial small subunit ribosomal RNA", at positions 28 to 507 of the family's 1533-position model. The record is from RNAcentral.